RNAcentral lists this long non-coding RNA (586 nucleotides) under Homo sapiens (human). Its description in RNAcentral is "Down syndrome critical region 8, transcript variant 5 (DSCR8)". Lineage: Eukaryota; Metazoa; Chordata; Mammalia; Primates; Hominidae. The record is from RNAcentral.
UAGCGCGCAGGGAAGGCUGGUCACCCCACCCUAAUCUUGUUAUGCAAAUAGGCUUCCCACUUGGCAGGGGCCGUCUUGUCCACUCGUUUCUGUAAACAUGGGUGGCAAAAAGAGAAGAUGGAGCUGCCAUUUAGAACAUGCCUAAUCCCAGCUUCAUCUUGCUGAGCAAAAAUGAAGGAGCCUGGACCCAACUUUGUUACUGUGAGAAAGGGUCUUCAUUCAUUCAAGAUGGCAUUUGUUAAGCACCUACUUCUCUUUCUGUCACCUAGGCUGGAGUGCAGUGGUUCAAUCACGGAUCACUGCAGCCUCCACCUCCCAGUUCAAGAAAUUCUCAUGUCUCAGCCUCCUGAGCAGCUAGGAUUACAGACAAACCUUGGAAAUCAAGAAAGUUCUGGAAUGAUGAAGCUGUUCAUGCCAAGACCGAAAGUGCUGGCCCAGUAUGAGUCCAUUCAGUUCAUGCCGUGACAAUUUUCUUGGAACUCCUUUUUAUUGUUAGUUCUCACUUGUUUCCAUAUUUAGUGAAUGUACAUUUAAUUGCAAAGCUGUCAUUAAUAAAAAUUCUUAUAGUACCUCAAAAAAAAAAAAA